This 253-nucleotide ribosomal RNA is filed under the name uncultured bacterium. RNAcentral's name for it is "partial 16S ribosomal RNA". It matches the Rfam family "Bacterial small subunit ribosomal RNA", at positions 524 to 776 of the family's 1533-position model. The record is from RNAcentral.
UACGAAGGGGGCUAGCGUUGCUCGGAAUUACUGGGCGUAAAGCGUGCGCAGGCGGUUUUGUAAGUCAGAUGUGAAAUCCCCGGGCUUAACCUGGGAACUGCGUUUGAAACUACAAGGCUAGAGUGUGGCAGAGGGGGGUGGAAUUCCACGUGUAGCAGUGAAAUGCGUAGAGAUGUGGAGGAACACCGAUGGCGAAGGCAGCCCCCUGGGUUAACACUGACGCUCAGGCACGAAAGCGUGGGGAGCAAACAGG